Molecule: long non-coding RNA, 1910 nt
Filed under: Olea europaea subsp. europaea
Lineage: Eukaryota; Viridiplantae; Streptophyta; Magnoliopsida; Lamiales; Oleaceae
Source: RNAcentral
GCGUAGUUCGGGUGUAACGAAACUAGGCCUGUGACACUCUGCUCUUUAUAUGAAGACGAAUACCUCCACAAAUUUUUAUCCUCUUCAUCUUAUCCCUCCCUCUCUCUCUGGAAACUACUUUCAUUAUUCGAUUUCACAAGAGCCUAGUUCCGCUUUCUGAUCAGGUAAUUCUACUGUUUAAUUUUACAAAUUUGAGAUGAUCAAGUAAUUCUCCUUUCUAUUUAUUAUGGGUAUUAGAAUCGUAUGUAGGAACUGUAUGCAAAAGUGUAGAACCGUGUAGUCUGAUUGUUUGAUCCAGAAUAUGAAUGAGAAAGAUGAUCAGAUUAUAUAUAUUUGCUCUGAUACCAUAUUAGAGACGAAUGGAGGAGUGAACUGAAUUUCAUUGAUCAUCUAUUCAGUGAAAAGCGUAUGUACAAAGAUGUAUAAAUAGCAUUUAAAGUUGGCACCAAAAAUAUAUGCCAGCUGGAUAACAGCACGACAACUUGGAACCAGCUGAGCCAACUAACAAGGAAACUAACCAAUCGAAAAUAAGACUACACGGUUCAACACUUCUGCAUACAAUUCCUACAUACAAUUCUAAUAAUGGGAAUUUUGUCUUUCUUGAUUUUUUUGAAAGAUUGACAAAAUUACGUUUUUCAUUUUAGCACAACCAAGAAAGGUGAUGACGGUUGAAUCUUUUGUGGAAAACCGAAAAGAUGUCGGUUUUGAUCAAGAAGAAAUAUUAUAUCAAUUAAAUAUCAAUUUACUAAGUGCUUGUUUGAUGGAGAUUUUAAUAAUUGAUUUUUUUGACCGUUAGAAAAAAAUGAGUCCUACCCGUGAGAGAAGAAUUAAAAAAUGACGGCUGGAAUAAUGCAAUAAUAGUGAAAAAAUUGUUUUUAAUUGACUUAAAAUCUAAACCAAACAAGCUCUAAACAACAUAUAAGGAACAUGGAAUUUUUCUCCAUAACCAAAUUGCAGUGAGGGUACUUCAUAGCCAAUUUCAUUUUUCCUUUUUCUUUUGGCAAAAUAUAUUAGUGCAUUUUAGUACUUUAUAUUUCAAAUUUUAAUGGUGAUAGUUGACUCAAUUGUCUACUUUUUUAAAUAAGAUUGAAUUUUAAUGAGAUGAGUGUAAAAGAAAAAAAUAUUUAAAUUGAAAUUCUCUAUGGGAUAUGUAUACAAGUAUAUCAAGAUUCUACACUUUGUGGAAUGAAAACAAUAGCCCUAGAGCAUUUCCAAGAGACUUUAAAUUAUGUGUCAAAUAUAAAGAGCAUGUUGGAGUAUUUCAAAAUUUUCAUUCUCUAAAUUUAUAGAUAUUUUCCAGAUGAUAUAAUAUGCUCUUUAAAAAUUGAGUCGCUUUGUUGCUGAAAUUGGUAAAGAAUCUCAAAAUGAGUUCUCUGAAGAUGAAAAAUCACCGAUAAUGAGGAAAUACGAUCUGGUUGGCGAGAGGUAAAUUGUCCUUUUCCAUUCUUUUCGCCAAUUCAUGAGUAAAUGCUUCUUGUUAUAGUUCGUAUGAUUGCAGAAUUGUGUUCGAGAAACUUAUCCUGAUUAUUGUGAUCAAAUGGUUAUUGAUGGUUGAGAGAGUACCUGGUAGAACUGCUGAGGAACUUGACUGCUGAGGAACUUGAAAAGUACUGAAAUUCUAGAUAUUCCAUAAAUCAACGAUACACUGAGAAACAUUUGAAUUGCAAAUGUCCAGGAAAAACAGUAAUAUAUGUAUGAAUUUUGAAUUCUUAUGGCGGAGGAACACAGAAAGUUGCUACUUUUGCCAUGAAGGAAUUUGUUAAAAUGCCGAGUGGAGAUCCAUGUUCCGGCAGGGCCAAUAGAGCCCAUAUUUAUUUGUAUGUUCUUUUUUACUUUUUUCGAGAAUUACUAGUUCACCAUCAAUGAAAAUUGUGAGACUGCAUGUAAUGCUUGUAUCUAUACGAAGAGAU